AAACAUUCCUGGCAGACAGGAAAGAAUUACGCAAAGUAUCCCGUAAGAAGAUUCUGAAGGUGCCUUUUCAGUGUAUUGAGUUUUCAUUGCUUGGACUGAGGCCACUGCAUCGUGCUACCAGUGAGGCAAGCACAAGCGCAGAGCAUGUGCCAGGGGACUCUUGGGACGAUGCCACCACUGAGUACGUGAAGUCGGCUGUAAAGA
Molecule: long non-coding RNA, 204 nt
Organism: Rhipicephalus sanguineus (brown dog tick)
Lineage: Eukaryota; Metazoa; Arthropoda; Arachnida; Ixodida; Ixodidae
Exons: 3
Source: RefSeq, a predicted model, not a curated record